Chlorocebus sabaeus (green monkey) is the source of this 1568-nucleotide long non-coding RNA. RefSeq lists it as uncharacterized. NCBI's taxonomy places the organism in Eukaryota, Metazoa, Chordata, Mammalia, Primates, Cercopithecidae. The record is from RefSeq and is a predicted model, not a curated record.
UGCAAAGAUGCACAGAGAUAUUCAUUGCAGGACAGGAAUAUUCACUGGCAAACAAGCAAACUGGAAACAAUCUAAAUUUUUAAUAAUUUAGGUAUGAUGAUACAGAUUUUGCUAAGCUGGUGCAACAGAAUACUACAUAGUGAUUAAAAGAGAAGGAAUUGACAUGGUAUGAAGUUUAUGCACAACUAGUAUAUACUAGGAUGCCAGCUUUGAAAAUAAGUAUGUAUAUUCAGAUGUAUUUUGCAAUUUUACAAAGGUGAUAUAAUAUCAUAGAGUCAUUGCAAUGAAGGGGAUUAUACUCAACUGGAAUCAAGACAUUCAUAUUCUUGUGUUGACUUUAUUUCUAACUAGUUGCAUGACUUUUGGGCAACAUUUCUCUCUUGGUCUCAGUUUCUUCAUUUCUAACAUGGGCAGUGUGUGGGAGGCUGAAUAAGGGCCCCAAAGAUAUCAAGUCCUAAUCUGUGGAGCCUAUAUAUGUUAACGUUGAAUAGAAAAAGGGUCUUCGCAGAUGUAAUUAAGUUAAGGAUUUUGAGAUAGGGAGAUUAUCUUGGAUAAUCAUAAGUGUAAUUGUAAGUAUCCUUAUCAAAGGAAAACAGAAAGGAAUAUUACACAGAAGAGGAGAAAACAAUAUGGUGACCGUGGAGGUAGAGGUUAGAGUGAUGCAGCCACAAGCCAAGGAAUGCCAACAGCCACUGGAAGCAGGAAGAGGUAAUGAGAACUCUGUAACCCAAGAUGUUUUGCAUGUUGUCUUAGCCACCAGAAAGCUCAGAGAUGCAUUGCCCCAGAGGACGCCAUGAACAAGGACUGACAAAAGCAAAGAAUACAGCCAAGGCAGUGAGCAAAGUGUCACCUUAGGAGGUUGGAUGCUGAUUUUAUUUGAAUGUCAGUCAGCAAUCCUACAGUAACCUGACUCCAAAGACGGCUGCCAUGAAUUCCUUCCCUCCCUGUACUUCCCCGUUGAGGAGCGGAGUCUCUAGAAUCUGAGCUGGACUGGGUUUGACCUACAGAACACUGUAGAAGUAUAUGGCAUGAGAGAGUAUAGCCAGCUCCAGGCUUGGCAUUCAAGAGGAAUGGAGUUUCUGCUUCCUGUAUUUGGGAGCCGUGAGCUGCCUGGUAAGAAGGUUAGACCAUUCCACUCAAGAGAGAGGUUGCAUGCACAGGCACUGAAGGCCUAGAUGUGUGAGCAAGGAGGCCAUCUUGGGGAACAGCCAGCCCAGCUGAGCCUACAAAAGACUCCAGCCCCAGUCAUCUGAUGGCAGCCACAGAAGGGAGCCCAGAAAUGCCCAGCUGAGCCCAGACUGCAACACAGAAGGCUUCCGGAAGAUACUGCACAUGAAGGAAAUGAAGAGGAGCAAGCAGAGCAGCAUGCUGGAAUUCCUGCACCUGCUGCUCCCCAUGCUGCCCUUGCGGGUGGAAAGCUCCAGCUCACUGUCCCUGAUGGCGCCAACACCAGACCAGGAAUUGUCUGGCAUCUGCAAACUCAUUAAAAAGAGACUGUGGGGCCGGGCGUGGUGGCUCAUGCCUGUAAUCCCAGCACUUUGGGAGGCUGAGGUGGGCAGAUCACUUGA